GACGAACGCUGGCGGCAUGCCUAACACAUGCAAGUCGAACGAGACCUUCGGGUCUAGUGGCGCACGGGUGCGUAACGCGUGGGAACCUGCCCUUAGGUUCGGAAUAACUCCCCGAAAGGGGUGCUAAUACCGGAUAAUGUCUUCGGACCAAAGAUUUAUCGCCUUUGGAUGGGCCCGCGUUGGAUUAGCUAGUUGGUAGGGUAAAAGCCUACCAAGGCGACGAUCCAUAGCUGGUCUGAGAGGAUGAUCAGCCACACUGGGACUGAGACACGGCCCAGACUCCUACGGGAGGCAGCAGUGGGGAAUAUUGGACAAUGGGCGAAAGCCUGAUCCAGCAAGGCCGCGUGAGUGAUGAAGGCCUUAGGGUUGUAAAGCUCUUUUACCCGGGAUGAUAAUGACAGGACCGGGAGAAUAAGCUCCGGCUAACUCCGU
RNAcentral lists this ribosomal RNA (432 nucleotides) under uncultured bacterium. RNAcentral's name for it is "partial 16S ribosomal RNA". It matches the Rfam family "Bacterial small subunit ribosomal RNA", at positions 28 to 506 of the family's 1533-position model. The record is from RNAcentral.